RNAcentral lists this small RNA (1586 nucleotides) under Pongo abelii (Sumatran orangutan). Its description in RNAcentral is "retained intron". Lineage: Eukaryota; Metazoa; Chordata; Mammalia; Primates; Hominidae. The record is from RNAcentral.
GUCCUCCUCGCCCUCCAGGCCGCCCGCGCCGCGCCGGAGUCCGCUGUCCGCCAGCUACCCGCUUCCUGCUUCCCGCCGCUGCCAUGCUGCCCGCCGCGCUGCUCCGCCGCCCGGGACUUGGCCGCCUCGUCCGCCACGCCCGUGCCUAUGCCGAGGCCGCCGCCGCCCCGGCUGCCGCCUCUGGCCCCAACCAGAUGUCCUUCACCUUCGCCUCUCCCACGCAGGUUCGGGCGCUGCGGGUCGAGACCCUCCGUGACCGCCGCCCCCGGAGUCCAGGGUCCCCACCCCCAGGGCGCGACCCCCGCUUCCGGGCCCCCGGACCCGUGCGCCCCGGAAGCCGAGGCCACUCAGCCCUGGACCCCCGGCCCUGCCUCUGCUGCCCGAGCCCUGCGCUGCCCUCGUCUCGGGCACCUCCCCGAGAUAAGCGUCUCCUGGGUGUCCUCCCCGAUCUCCCUGGCCAAAGCCUGGGUGUCGCCGGAUCGCUGCAUUCCCAUUUCGCGGAUCAGUAGAAUGAGGCGCAACUGUUGAGGACCAAAGCUGCAACCUCGGAUCCCUGCGCUGGGUUGUCUCAGUGCCUCACAUCAGCGCCAGGUCCUGCCCUGACCCAUUUUUUAGCAGGACAGGCCGAGUCCCCGGUGGGCGCGGGGCCGGCCUGCCCCGCCAUCAUUCCCCACGCUGUUGUCUGCAGGUGUUCUUCAACGGUGCCAACGUCCGGCAGGUGGACGUGCCCACGCUGACCGGAGCCUUCGGCAUCCUGGCGGCCCACGUGCCCACGCUGCAGGUCCUGCGGCCGGGGCUGGUGGUGGUGCAUGCAGAGGACGGCACCACCUCCAAAUACUUUGGUGAGUCCGGUGGAGGGCUGCAGGGCCAGGCCAGGCUGGGGCUCCACAUCCCAGGUCAGUCUCCGUCUCAGUUGAGGCUGCGAGAAAAAAUAGUUUUAGGCCGGGCACGGUGGCUCACGCCUGUAAUCCCGCACUUUGGGAGGCCGAGGCAGGUGGAUCACCUGAGGUCAGGAGUUCAGAGACCAGCCUGGCCAACAUGAUGUAACCCCGUCUCUUCCAAAAAUACAGAAAACUGGCCGGGCGCGGUGGCUCCCGCCUGUAAUCCCAGCACUUUGGGAGGCCGAGGCGGGGGCAUCACGAGGUCAGGAGAUCGAGACCAUCCUGGCUAACAUGGUGAAACCCCGUCUCUACUAAAAAUACAAAAAAUUAGCCAGGCGUGGUGGCGGGCGUCUGUAGUCCCAGCUACUCAGGAGGCUGAGGAGAUCGCGCCACUGCACUCCAGUCUGGGCAACAAGAGUGAAACUCCAUCUCAAAAAAGAAAAGUACAGUUUUAGCAGGUUUGUCCACUGAGGAGCCUGGGCUGGGCGGUGAUGAAAGCGAACCAGAGGGGACCCUGCUCUCAGCCGGUUUAUGAUUGGCUCUGGACCAACCAACGUAUGAUGGUGGAAGCAAGAGAUGUAAAACCACCCAGGCCCAGUGGCUCAUGCCUGUAAUCUCAGCACUUUGGGAGACUGAAGUGGGAGAAUCGCUUAAGCCCAGGAGUUUGAGACUAGCCUUGGCAACAUAGUGAGAACCUGUCUCUAC